This 402-nucleotide ribosomal RNA is filed under the name bacterium. RNAcentral describes it as "partial 16S ribosomal RNA". It matches the Rfam family "Bacterial small subunit ribosomal RNA", at positions 355 to 776 of the family's 1533-position model. The record is from RNAcentral.
UGGGGAAUUUUGCACAAUGGGGGAAACCCUGAUGCAGCGACGCCGCGUGAUUUAGAAGGCCUUCGGGUUGUAAAAAUCUUUUCUAUGGGAAGAAAAUGACAGUACCAUAGCAAUAAGGACCGGCUAAUUACGUGCCAGCAGCCGCGGUAAUACGUAAGGUCCGAGCGUUGUCCGGAAUCAUUGGGCGUAAAGGGUACGUAGGCGGGUAAGCAAGUUAGAAGUGAAAUCCUAUAGCUCAACUAUAGUAAGCUUUUAAAACUGCUCAGCUUGAGGUAUGGAAGGGAAAGUGGAAUUCCUAGUGUAUCGGUGAAAUGCGCAGAUGUUAGGAGGAAUACCGGUGGCGAAGGCGACUUUCUGGCCAUAACCUGACGCUGAGGUACGAAAGCGUGGGUAGCAAACAGG